AUCUGGGCGGCGGAAUUCAGGAUGGCCGGCAUGCUCUCGCAGUGUGUCGGUCGUUUGAUAUUUCCGUCGCCAACAAACUGCAGACGUCGCGACCUGUUCGCGGUCGGUCCCUGCUCGGAGGAGCCACGUUCGAGCUCGUUGUGUGCGCGUUUCGGCGCGUCACACGGCGAAGGCGUGGAUCUCUGGCUGGCCGUCGGACAGUAUGCUUAGCGGUGUCCGGUGUCGUCGUCUCGUACGCGCGGCAUCGGUACCGGUCAGCGACGAAUUCUUCGGGCCUCUUUCCGACCCGUCUUGAAACACGGACCAAGGAGUCUAACAUGCGCGCGAGUCGCGGGGUAUCGAGCGUACUUCGGUGCGUUCGUUAUGUUGCUAAACCCGUACAUGUCGAAGGCGUAAUGAAAGUGAAUGGGGAAGAUGGUGUUCCGAG
RNAcentral lists this ribosomal RNA (427 nucleotides) under Diaspidiotus ancylus. Its description in RNAcentral is "LSU rRNA". The record is from RNAcentral. Lineage: Eukaryota; Metazoa; Arthropoda; Insecta; Hemiptera; Diaspididae.